CAAAUCACAAACAUAUAAAAUUAACUAAACAAAACAUUUGACCAACCCAGUAGAUGUGAUCGAACAGUAAACUUAACCACACUAGUACCGUAAGGGAAUAACAAAAGCAACAAACAGCAAAGAUAAAACCUUGUACCUUUCGCAUCAUGGUCUAGCAAGAAACCAAAGACAAGAAGAAUCAUAGCCUUCACCCCGAAACCAGAUGAGCUACCUCAAAGCAGCCUAAUGGGCGCACCCUUCUCUGUAGCAAAAGAGUGGGAAGACUUAGAGGUAGAAGUGAAACGCUUAUCGAAUCUGGAGAUAGCUGGCUACCCAAAACAGAAUUUUAGUUCCACCUUAAACCAUAACAAUAACCACUUAUUUAUCUUUAAGGAUAAUCAAUAGGGGUACAGCCCUAUUGAAACAGGAUACAACCUGAAUUUGAGAGAAAUAAACACAUUUCCACCAAGUAGGCCUUAAAGCAGCCACCUUAUACAAUAUCGUUAAAGAAUUCAACCAAAAACCCAAACAUUAACUAAAAACUCCAAACAAACUAAAGGUAAACUCAUAACUAUGAGUACUAUUAUGCUAGAACUAAUAAUAAGACAACCUCUCUACAUGCACCUAUCCACUAGACCGGAUAAACCACUAGUUAUUAACAGACCACAAUAGGAAAAACAAACCAAUACCCACCUUAAAAUAAACUGUGACCCCAACACAGGCGCAUUAAAAAGAAAGAUCCACUAUUAUAAAAGGAACUCGGCAAACAAAGACCCCAACUGUUUAACAAAAACAUAACCUUUAGCCAAACAAAUAUUAAAGGCAACGCCUGCCCAGUGAACAUUAAACGGCCGCGGUACCCUAACCGUGCAAAGGUAGCGUAAUCAUUUGUCUACUAAUUAUAGACCUGUAUGAAAGGCAAAAUGAGGGCCUAACUGUCUCUUAUAAUAAAUCAAUUAAACUGAUCUCCUAGUAAAAAAGCUAGAAUCCUCACAUAAGACCAGAAGACCCUGUGAAGCUUAAACUAAACUAUUAAACCACAUAAUAGCUACUUUCGGUUGGGGCGACCUUGGAAAAAAAAAGAACUUCCAAACACUUGACUCAUACCUCAAACCACCUUAAGGCCCACAAGCCAACAAACGACCCAGCACAGCUGAUAACUGAACCAAGUUACUCCAGGGAUAACAGCGCAAUCUUCUUCAAGAGCCCAUAUCAAAAAGAAGGUUUACGACCUCGAUGUUGGAUCAGGACAUCCUAAUGGUGCAGCCGCUAUUAAGGGUUCGUUCGUUCAACGAUUAACAGUCCUACGUGAUCU
RNAcentral lists this ribosomal RNA (1294 nucleotides) under Gonyosoma boulengeri (Rhinoceros ratsnake). Its description in RNAcentral is "partial 16S ribosomal RNA". It matches the Rfam family "Bacterial large subunit ribosomal RNA", at positions 439 to 2606 of the family's 2925-position model. The record is from RNAcentral. Lineage: Eukaryota; Metazoa; Chordata; Lepidosauria; Squamata; Colubridae.